AAGGCCCUCGGGUUGUAAAGCACUUUCAGCGAGGAAGAACGCCUAGCGGUUAAUACCCGCUAGGAAAGACAUCACUCGCAGAAGAAGCACCGGCUAACUCCGUGCCAGCAGCCGCGGUAAUACGGAGGGUGCAAGCGUUAAUCGGAAUUACUGGGCGUAAAGCGCGCGUAGGUGGCUUGAUAAGCCGGUUGUGAAAGCCCCGGGCUCAACCUGGGAACGGCAUCCGGAACUGUCAAGCUAGAGUGCAGGAGAGGAAGGUAGAAUUCCCGGUGUAGCGGUGAAAUGCGUAGAGAUCGGGAGGAAUACCAGUGGCGAAGGCGGCCUUCUGGACUGACACUGACACUGAGGUGCGAAAGCGUGGGUAGCAAACAGGAUUAGAUACCCUGGUAGUCCACGCCGUAAACGAUGUCGACCAGCCGUUGGGUGCCUAGCGCACUUUGUGGCGAAGUUAACGCGAUAAGUCGACCGCCUGGGGAGUACGGCCGCAAGGUUAAAACUCAAAUGAAUUGACGGGGGCCCGCACAAGCGGUGGAGCAUGUGGUUUAAUUCGAUGCAACGCGAAGAACCUUACCUACUCUUGACAUCCUGCGAAUUUGGUAGAGAUACCUUAGUGCCUUCGGGAACGCAGAGACAGGUGCUGCAUGGCUGUCGUCAGCUCGUGUUGUGAAAUGUUGGGUUAAGUCCCGUAACGAGCGCAACCCUUGUCCUUAUUUGCCAGCGCGUAAUGGCGGGAACUCUAAGGAGACUGCC
This 750-nucleotide ribosomal RNA is filed under the name Vreelandella aquamarina. RNAcentral describes it as "bacterial SSU rRNA". It matches the Rfam family "Bacterial small subunit ribosomal RNA", at positions 411 to 1153 of the family's 1533-position model. Lineage: Bacteria; Pseudomonadati; Pseudomonadota; Gammaproteobacteria; Oceanospirillales; Halomonadaceae. The record is from RNAcentral.